AUGCACGCUGGCGGCGUGCCUAAUACAUGCCAGUCGAGCGAACGGACGAGAAGCUUGCUUCUCUGAUGUUAGCGGCGGACGGGUGAGUAACACGUGGAUAACCUACCUAUAAGACUGGGAUAACUUCGGGAAACCGGAGCUAAUACCGGAUAAUAUUUUGAACCGCAUGGGUCAAAAGUGAAAGACGGGCUUGCUGUCACUUAUAGAUGGAUCCGCGCUGCAUUAGCUAGUUGGUAAGGUAACGGCUUACCAAGGCAACGAUGCAUAGCCGACCUGAGAGGGUGAUCGGCCACACUGGAACUGAGACACGGUCCAGACUCCUACGGGAGGCAGCAGUAGGGAAUCUUCCGCAAUGGGCGAAAGCCUGACGGAGCAACGCCGCGUGAGUGAUGAAGGUCUUCGGAUCGUAAAACUCUGUUAUUAGGGAAGAACAUAUGUGUAAGUAACUGUGCACAUCUUGACGGUACCUAAUCAGAAAGCCACGGCUAACUACGUG
This 496-nucleotide ribosomal RNA is filed under the name uncultured bacterium. RNAcentral's name for it is "partial 16S ribosomal RNA". It matches the Rfam family "Bacterial small subunit ribosomal RNA", at positions 29 to 507 of the family's 1533-position model. The record is from RNAcentral.